GAUGAACGCUAGCUACAGGCUUAACACAUGCAAGUCGAGGGGAAACGACAUCGAAAGCUUGCUUUUGAUGGGCGUCGACCGGCGCACGGGUGAGUAACGCGUAUCCAACCUGCCCAUCACUUGGGAAUAACCUUGCGAAAGUAAGACUAAUACCCAAUGAUAUCCCACGAAGGCAUCGGAAUGGGAUUAAAGAUUUAUCGGUGAUGGAUGGGGAUGCGUCUGAUUAGCUUGUUGGCGGGGUAACGGCCCACCAAGGCAACGAUCAGUAGGGGUUCUGAGAGGGAGGUCCCCCACAUUGGAACUGAGACACGGUCCAAACUGCUACGGGAGGCAGCAGUGAGGGAUAGUGGGCAAUGGGCGAGUGCCUGAACCAGCCAAGUAGCGUGCAGGAAGACGGCCCUAUGGGUUGUAAACUGCUUUUAUAAGGGAAUAAAGUGGGUCACGUGUGACUUUUUGCAUGUACCUUAUGAAUAAGGACCGGCUAAUUCCGUG
Molecule: ribosomal RNA, 492 nt
Filed under: uncultured bacterium
Lineage: Bacteria
Description: partial 16S ribosomal RNA
Rfam family: Bacterial small subunit ribosomal RNA
Source: RNAcentral